AACAGGAUUAGAUACCCUGGUAGUCCACGCCCUAAACGAUGUCAACUGGUUGUUGGGAGGGUUUCUUCUCAGUAACGUAGCUAACGCGUGAAGUUGACCGCCUGGGGAGUACGGCCGCAAGGUUGAAACUCAAAGGAAUUGACGGGGACCCGCACAAGCGGUGGAUGAUGUGGUUUAAUUCGAUGCAACGCGAAAAACCUUACCUACCCUUGACAUGUCUGGAAUCCUGAAGAGAUUUGGGAGUGCUCGAAAGAGAGCCAGAACACAGGUGCUGCAUGGCCGUCGUCAGCUCGUGUCGUGAGAUGUUGGGUUAAGUCCCGCAACGAGCGCAACCCUUGUCAUUAGUUGCUACGAAAGGGCACUCUAAUGAGACUGCCGGUGACAAACCGGAGGAAGGUGGGGAUGACGUCAGGUCAUCAUGGCCCUUAUGGGUAGGGCUACACACGUCAUACAAUGGCCGGGACAGAGGGCUGCCAACCCGCGAGGGGGAACUAAUCCCAGAAACCCGGUCGUAGUCCGGAUCGUAGUCUGCAACUCGACUGCGUGAAGUCGGAAUCGCUAGUAAUCGCGGAUCAGCUUGCCGCGGUGAAUACGUUCCCGGGUCUUGUACACACCGCCCGUCACACCAUGGGAGCGGGUUCUGCCAGAAGUAGUUAGCCUAACCGCAAGGAGGGCGAUUACCACGGCAGGGUUCGUGACUGGGGGUGAAGUCGUAACAAGGUAACC
Molecule: ribosomal RNA, 726 nt
Filed under: uncultured bacterium
Lineage: Bacteria
Description: bacterial SSU rRNA
Rfam family: Bacterial small subunit ribosomal RNA
Source: RNAcentral